RNAcentral lists this ribosomal RNA (376 nucleotides) under uncultured eukaryote. RNAcentral describes it as "partial 18S ribosomal RNA". It matches the Rfam family "Eukaryotic small subunit ribosomal RNA", at positions 592 to 976 of the family's 1831-position model. The record is from RNAcentral.
CAAGAGCGUAUAUUAAAGUUGCUGCGGUCAAAAAGCUCGUAGUUGGAUUUCAGUCUAGGAAGGUUAACUCGCCGAAAGGUUGUACGUUGAUUUUCCUCAGACUUCGUCAGAAGCUCGUGCUGCACUUAACUGUGUGGUACGAUGUUCUGACCUUUUACCUUGAGGAAAGUAGAGUGUUUCAGGCAGGCUACCCAGCUUGAAUACAUUAGCAUGGAAUAAUGAAAUGGAUCUCGGUUCGAUUUCGUUGGUUCUAGAGCUGAGGUGAUGAUCAAUAGGAACAGGCGAAGGUAUUCGUACUUGAGAGUGAGGAGUGAAAUCCGAUGAUCUCUUAAAGACGAUCCGAGGCGAAAGCAUUUGUCAAGGAUGUUUUCAUUGA